UGCGUAGGCGGAAUAUUAAGUCAGUGGUGAAAUCCUGCGGCUCAACCAUAGAACUGCCAUUGAUACUGAUAUUCUUGAAUGUAGUUGAGGUAGGCGGAAUGUGUAAUGUAGCGGUGAAAUGCUUAGAUAUUACACAGAACACCGAUUGCGAAGGCAGCUUACUAAACUAUGAUUGACGCUGAGGCACGAAAGCGUGGGGAGCGAACAGGAUUAGAUACCCUGGUAGUCC
This 229-nucleotide ribosomal RNA is filed under the name uncultured bacterium. RNAcentral describes it as "partial 16S ribosomal RNA". It matches the Rfam family "Bacterial small subunit ribosomal RNA", at positions 568 to 796 of the family's 1533-position model. The record is from RNAcentral.